GUUGUAUAGUCAAGUAAUUAAGUGCAUGUGGUGGAUGCCUUGGCAGUCAGAGGCGAUGAAAGACGUGAUAGCCUGCGAAAAGCUCCGGGGAGGCGGCAAAUAUCCUUUGAUCCGGAGAUGUCUGAAUGGGGGAACCCACCUACUUUAAGGUAGGUAUUGCAACAUGAAUACAUAGUGUUGCAAGGCGAACGAGGGGAAGUGAAACAUCUCAGUACCCUUAGGAAAAGAAAUCAAUUGAGAUUCCCUCAGUAGCGGCGAGCGAACGGGGAUCAGCCCAUUAAGUUAUGUGUGUUUUAGUGGAACGCUCUGGGAAGUGCGAACGUAGAGGGUGAUAUUCCCGUACACGAAAGGGCACACAUAAUGAUGACGAGUAGGGCGAGGCACGUGAAACCUUGUCUGAAUAUGGGGGGACCAUCCUCCAAGGCUAAAUACUCCUGACUGACCGAUAGUGAACCAGUACCGUGAGGGAAAGGCGAAAAGAACCCCUGUGAGGGGAGUGAAAUAGAUCCUGAAACCGCAUGCAUACAAGCAGUGGGAGCACCUUCGUGGUGUGACUGCGUACCUUUUGUAUAAUGGGUCAGCGACUUAUAUUCAGUAGCGAGGUUAACCGUAUAGGGGAGCCGUAGAGAAAUCGAGUCUUAAUAGGGCGUUUAGUUGCUGGGUAUAGACCCGAAACCAGGCGAUCUAUCCAUGAGCAGGUUGAAGGUUGGGUAACACUAACUGGAGGACCGAACCCACUGUCGUUGAAAAGCCAGGGGAUGACUUGUGGAUAGGGGUGAAAGGCUAAUCAAGCCUGGUGAUAGCUGGUUCUCCCCGAAAGCUAUUUAGGUAGCGCCUCGGACGAAUACCAUAGGGGGUAGAGCACUGUUUCGGCUAGGGGGUCAUCCCGACUUACCAAACCGAUGCAAACUCCGAAUACCUAUGAGUACUAUCCGGGAGACAGACUGCGGGUGCUAACGUCCGUAGUCAAGAGGAAAACAAUCCAGACCGCCAGCUAAGGCCCCAAAAUCAUAGUUAAGUGGGAAACGAUGUGGGAAGGCAUAGACAGCUAGGAGGUUGGCUUAGAAGCAGCCACCCUUUAAAGAAAGCGUAAUAGCUCACUAGUCGAGUCGGCCUGCGCGGAAGAUGUAACGGGGCUAAAACUAUGUGCCGAAGCUGCGGAUNNNNNNNNNNNNNNNNNNNNNNNNNNUGCUGGAGGUAUCAGAAGUGCGAAUGCUGACGUGAGUAACGACAAAACGGGUGAAAAACCCGUUCGCCGAAAGACCAAGGGUUCCAGUCCAACGUUAAUCGGGGCUGGGUGAGUCGACCCCUAAGGCGAGGCCGAAAGGCGUAGUCGAUGGGAAAAUGGUUAAUAUUCCAUUACUUCUGUGUAAUGCGAUGAGAGGACGGAGAAGGCUAAAUCAGCCUGGCGUUGGUUGUCCAGGUGAAAGGAUGUAGGCAUGUAUCUUAGGCAAAUCCGGGGUACUCUAUGCUGAGAUCUGAUAGCAAGCUGUACUUGUACAGCGAAGUGGUUGAUGCCAUGCUUCCAGGAAAAGUCUCUAAGCUUCAGUUACACAGGAAUCGUACCCGAAACCGACACAGGUGGUCAGGUCGAGUAGACCAAGGCGCUUGAGAGAACUCUGCUGAAGGAACUAGGCAAAAUGGUACCGUAACUUCGGGAGAAGGUACGCUGUUGUUGGUGAUGGAACUCGCUUCCUGAGCUGACGACAGCCGCAGAAACCAGGCCGCUGCAACUGUUUAUUAAAAACAUAGCACUCUGCAAACACGAAAGUGGACGUAUAGGGUGUGAUGCCUGCCCGGUGCUGGAAGGUUAAUUGAUGGGGUUAGCGUAAGCGAAGCUCUUGAUCGAAGCCCCAGUAAACGGCGGCCGUAACUAUAACGGUCCUAAGGUAGCGAAAUUCCUUGUCGGGUAAGUUCCGACCUGCACGAAUGGCAUAAUGAUGGCGGCGCUGUCUCCAGCAGAGGCUCAGUGAAAUCGAAAUCGCUGUGAAGAUGCAGUGUACCCGCGGCUAGACGGAAAGACCCCGUGAACCUUUACUGCAGCUUGACACUGAACUUUGACCUUACUUGUGUAGGAUAGGUGGGAGGCUUUGAAGCUGGAACGCUAGUUCCAGUGGAGCCGUCCUUGAAAUACCACCCUGGUAAUGUUGAGGUUCUAACUCUGUCCCGUGAUCCGGGACGAGGACCGUGUCUGGUGGGUAGUUUGACUGGGGCGGUCUCCUCCUAAAGAGUAACGGAGGAGUACGAAGGUGCGCUCAGCGUGGUCGGAAAUCACGCGUAGAGUAUAAAGGCAAAAGCGCGCUUAACUGCGAGACCCACAAGUCGAGCAGGUACGAAAGUAGGUCUUAGUGAUCCGGUGGUUCUGUAUGGAAGGGCCAUCGCUCAACGGAUAAAAGGUACUCUGGGGAUAACAGGCUGAUACCGCCCAAGAGUUCAUAUCGACGGCGGUGUUUGGCACCUCGAUGUCGGCUCAUCUCAUCCUGGGGCUGAAGCAGGUCCCAAGGGUAUGGCUGUUCGCCAUUUAAAGAGGUACGCGAGCUGGGUUUAGAACGUCGUGAGACAGUUCGGUCCCUAUCUACCGUGGGCGCUGGAAAUUUGAGAGGAUCUGCUCCUAGUACGAGAGGACCAGAGUGGACGAACCUCUGGUGUACCGGUUGUGACGCCAGUCGCAUCGCCGGGUAGCUAUGUUCGGAAGGGAUAACCGCUGAAAGCAUCUAAGCGGGAAGCCUACCUCAAGAUAAGAUUUCCCUAGGACUUUAUGUCCUCUAAAGAGCCGUUCGAGACUAGGACGUUGAUAGGUUGGAUGUGGAAGCAUAGUGAUAUGUGAAGCUGACCAAUACUAAUUGCUCGUGAGGCUUGACUAUACAACACCCAAGCAGUUG
RNAcentral lists this ribosomal RNA (2882 nucleotides) under Acinetobacter baumannii. Its description in RNAcentral is "23S ribosomal RNA". It matches the Rfam family "Bacterial large subunit ribosomal RNA". Lineage: Bacteria; Pseudomonadati; Pseudomonadota; Gammaproteobacteria; Moraxellales; Moraxellaceae. The record is from RNAcentral.